AAGUUUAGGUUAACCAAACCAGAGGCCUUCAAAGCCCC
Molecule: transfer RNA, 38 nt
Filed under: Cyrtodactylus gunungsenyumensis
Lineage: Eukaryota; Metazoa; Chordata; Lepidosauria; Squamata; Gekkonidae
Description: partial tRNA-Trp
Source: RNAcentral